ACACAUGCAAGUCGAGCGAUCUCUUCGGAGAGAGCGGCGGACGGGUGAGUAACGCGUGGGUAACCUGCCCUGUACACACGGAUAACAUACCGAAAGGUAUACUAAUACGGGAUAACAUACGAAAGUCGCAUGGCUUUUGUAUCAAAGCUCCGGCGGUACAGGAUGGACCCGCGUCUGAUUAGCUAGUUGGUAAGGUAAUGGCUUACCAAGGCAACGAUCAGUAGCCGACCUGAGAGGGUGAUCGGCCACACUGGAACUGAGACACGGUCCAGACUCCUACGGGAGGCAGCAGUGGGGAAUAUUGCACAAUGGGCGAAAGCCUGAUGCAGCAACGCCGCGUGAGCGAUGAAGGCCUUCGGGUCGUAAAGCUCUGUCCUCAAGGAAGAUAAUGACGGUACUUGAGGAGGAAGCCCCGGCUAACUACGUGCCAGCAGCCGCGGUAAUACGUAGGGGGCUAGCGUUAUCCGGAAUUACUGGGCGUAAAGGGUGCGUAGGUGGUUUUUUAAGUCAGAAGUGAAAGGCUACGGCUCAACCGUAGUAAGCUUUUGAAACUAGAGAACUUGAGUGCAGGAGAGGAGAGUAGAAUCCUAGUGUAGCGGUGAAAUGCGUAGAUAUUAGGAGGAAUACCAGUAGCGAAGGCGGCUCUCUGGACUGUAACUGACACUGAGGCACGAAAGCGUGGGGAGCAAACAGGAUUAGAUACCCUGGUAGUCCACGCCGUAAACGAUGAGUACUAGGUGUCGGGGGUUACCCCCCUCGGUGCCGCAGCUAACGCAUUAAGUACUCCGCCUGGGAAGUACGCUCGCAAGAGUAAACUCAAAGGAAUUGACGGGGACCCGCACAAGUAGCGGAGCAUGUGGUUUAAUUCGAAGCAACGCGAAGAACCUUACCUAAGCUUGACAUCCCACUGACCUCUCCCUAAUCGGAGAUUUCCCUUCGGGGACAGUGGUGACAGGUGGUGCAUGGUUGUCGUCAGCUCGUGUCGUUAGAUGUUGGGUUAC
This 1001-nucleotide ribosomal RNA is filed under the name Elbe River snow isolate Iso11_3. Its description in RNAcentral is "bacterial SSU rRNA". It matches the Rfam family "Bacterial small subunit ribosomal RNA", at positions 51 to 1083 of the family's 1533-position model. Lineage: Bacteria; Bacillati; Bacillota; Clostridia; Eubacteriales. The record is from RNAcentral.